AGAUUGAACGCUGGCGGCAGGCCUAACACAUGCAAGUCGAGCGGCAGCACGGGUACUUGUAUCUGGUGGCGAGCGGCGGACGGGUGAGUAAUGCCUAGGAAUCUGCCUGGUAGUGGGGGAUAACGCUCGGAAACGGACGCUAAUACCGCAUACGUCCUACGGGAGAAAGCGAGGGGACCUUCGGGCCUUGCGCUAUCAGAUGAGCCUAGGUCGGAUUAGCUAGUUGGUAGGGUAAUGGCUCACCAAGGCGACGAUCCGUAAUGGUCUGAGAGAUGAUCAGUCACACUGGAACUGAGACACGGUCCAGACCUCCUACGGGAGGCAAGCAGGUGGGGAAUAGUUGGACAAGUGGGACGAAAGCC
RNAcentral lists this ribosomal RNA (362 nucleotides) under uncultured soil bacterium. RNAcentral describes it as "bacterial SSU rRNA". It matches the Rfam family "Bacterial small subunit ribosomal RNA", at positions 26 to 383 of the family's 1533-position model. The record is from RNAcentral.